Molecule: non-coding RNA, 23 nt
Filed under: Arabidopsis thaliana (thale cress)
Lineage: Eukaryota; Viridiplantae; Streptophyta; Magnoliopsida; Brassicales; Brassicaceae
Source: RNAcentral
UGCCAUCUAACCUCGUUAAGUGA